RNAcentral lists this long non-coding RNA (1830 nucleotides) under Homo sapiens (human). RNAcentral describes it as "non-protein coding lnc-ARHGAP17-1:1". Lineage: Eukaryota; Metazoa; Chordata; Mammalia; Primates; Hominidae. The record is from RNAcentral.
GAUUUAUCUGACUUUAUUGAUGGGCAAGUUUUACAGCUAAUUUAUGUGCAACAGAAUGUUCUAGCUCUGAAGUGGCAUGCCUUCUUUGGGCAUGAAAAGCAGCACCUGCCUUGAAAAUAUUUCAGAUCACAAUCUCGACCUCAUUCUCUGGGGCACAGCUAAGAAGAUGCGAUCUGGGUGCCGGAAAGGCCCUGGGCUAAGCCCUCGGGGAAAAGCUGGUUUUCCCCAGAGGUGACCCUGUGACCUGCUUCUAUGUCAAGGGGGAAUAUUUCUCCUUUCAGUUGAGAAAUCAGAUUAAGCACCAUAAUUUUCACAAUGAAAUUUCAGCCUUAUAAGCCCUGGUCUGCUCUCUAGAACACAUAGACCAUUCAGAACCAAUGAAACAGAAAACCAGAAUUUUAAGACCUCAUCAGGAAAUACAAUCUUGAACAUGUGUGCUCAGUCCCUGUCACUGUGACCAGCUGACAAAUAUUUAUUUGUGCAUGUGGCAUAAAGGUAGGCAUGGUCUGUGCUCGGUAUUGUGUCUAUUCCAGUGGCAGAGAUGAACACUAGGCACUUUCCUAUUUAUUUAUUGUGAUGGAAUUUUGCUCUUGUUGCUCAUGCUGGAGUGCAAUGGCGGGAUCUCGGCUCACCGCAACCACAACCACCUCCACCUUCCAGGUGCAAGCGAUUCUCCCGCCUCAGCCUCCCGCGUAGCUGAGGUUCGAGAAUCACUUGAACCUGGGAGACAGAGAUUGCAGUGAGCGGAGAUCACGCCACUGCACUCCAGCCUUGGCGACAAAGCAAGACUCUGACUCAAAAAAAUAAAAAAAUAAAAAUAAUAAAAUAAGAAGUCUGGGUAACUGAUUGCACAAGGCAGAUAUUAAAAGGGCAGUUCCUGGGCAGGCACAGUGGCUCAUGGAUAAUUAUUUCCUGUCAGUCUUUCCCAACUAAACCGUGAGUUCCAGUAUGUCUGGCAGCACGUCUGUCUUGUUCUUGGUGUAUUCCCAUUACUGAAUCCCCACCAACCAGCCCAAAUAAGGCCCUGGCACAAAGUAAGCUCUCCAUUUUUGUAGAAUGAAUGAGUGAAUAAAUGGAGGACACUCAAGCCUCAUGUUUUCUCUUUCUGACACAUACCUGUGCUCCCUACGACCCCACCCUCACCAUCACACCCUUAAUAGUGGAGACUUAGUGUGGUACUGGCUUUUCAAACAGGUAUUAUGUGGCCCUAGACAGGUCAUUUCCUUCACUGAAAGUCAUCGCCUGAGUUUCAGGUGCACAACGGGGAUCAUACCUAAAAGAGAGAGAACCUCCACCUCUCAUCCUCAUAAUCUACGGAGACAGUAGUUAGGUGCAUCAUGUUUGUCUUUCUAGCAGCGUUUAGCUCCGAGAACGCCAAGACCCCGUCCGCCUGGUUCAGGGGCCUGCUCCCAUCCACAGUACCCAGGCUUGCUCCAAGCCUGGCUCACAGCAGGAGCUCAGAAACGAUUCGUUAAAUAAAUGAAGCCCUGUUCUGUGCAUUUCACAGGUGGGAAGCGAGGGUCGUGCGAGGCGGGGGCAGCAACCUGCCAGCCUCCGAGCGUAUUCUUCAGAUGCAGGCCCGCCUCCCACCUCAGCCCGCGUCCCAGAUGCCAGCCCCGAAUCCCGCGCCCGACAGGCGCUUCUUGCACAAGGAAGCAUCUUCGCAGGUGCAGCCCACGCCCUCGUCGCCCGCGUCGCAAUUCCAGGUGGAAAAGCAGGAGGUGAAGGAAGACUCCCUCUGUCUAGUGGCCAUGGGCGUGGAGGUUCCGGGGAGCUGUGUCCGCCAGACAUGGAAGUGGGGUCGACGGGCGGUAGGGGACGGCGCUAGUC